AGCGAACGCUGGCGGCAGGCUUAACACAUGCAAGUCGAGCGGGCGUAGCAAUACGUCAGCGGCAGACGGGUGAGUAACGCGUGGGAACGUACCUUUUGGUUCGGAACAACCCAGGGAAACUUGGGCUAAUACCGGAUAAGCCCUUACGGGGAAAGAUUUAUCGCCGAAAGAUCGGCCCGCGUCUGAUUAGCUAGUUGGUGUGGUAACGGCGCACCAAGGCGACGAUCAGUAGCUGGUCNGAGAGGAUGAUCAGCCACAUUGGGACUGAGACACGGCCCAAACUCCUACGGGAGGCAGCAGUGGGGAAUAUUGGACAAUGGGCGCAAGCCUGAUCCAGCCAUGCCGCGUGAGUGAUGAAGGCCCUAGGGUUGUAAGCUCUUUGUGCGGGAAGAUAAUGACGGUACCGCAAGAAUAAGCCCCGGCUAACUUCGUGCCAGCAGCC
This 442-nucleotide ribosomal RNA is filed under the name uncultured bacterium. RNAcentral's name for it is "bacterial SSU rRNA". It matches the Rfam family "Bacterial small subunit ribosomal RNA", at positions 29 to 516 of the family's 1533-position model. The record is from RNAcentral.